GAUUCUGGCUCAGGAUGAACGCUGGCGGCGUGCCUAACACAUGCAAGUCGAACGAAGCACAGCAGACGGAGAUUCGUCGAAGCCUGCUUUGACUUAGUGGCGGACGGGUGAGUAAUGUGUGAGCAACCUGCCUUUCAGAGGGGGACAACAGUUGGAAACGACUGCUAAUACCGCAUAACGUAUUUUGGUGGCAUCACCGGGAUACCAAAGGAGCAAUCCGCUGAAAGAUGGGCUCACAUCUGAUUAGCUUGUUGGUGAGGUAACGGCUCACCAAGGCUGCGAUCAGUAGCCGGACUGAGAGGUUGAACGGCCACAUUGGGACUGAGAUACGGCCCAGACUCCUACGGGAGGCAGCAGUGGGGAAUAUUGGGCAAUGGGCGAAAGCCUCGACCCAGCAACGCCGCGUGAAGGAAGAAGGUCUUCGGAUUGUAAACUUCUUUUAUGAGGGACGAAGGACGUGACGGUACCUCAUGAAUAAGCCACGGCUAACUACGUGCCAGCCGCGGC
Molecule: ribosomal RNA, 507 nt
Filed under: uncultured bacterium
Lineage: Bacteria
Description: bacterial SSU rRNA
Rfam family: Bacterial small subunit ribosomal RNA
Source: RNAcentral